RNAcentral lists this non-coding RNA (670 nucleotides) under Linnemannia elongata AG-77. Its description in RNAcentral is "Mortierella elongata AG-77 Eukaryotic large subunit ribosomal RNA". It matches the Rfam family "Eukaryotic large subunit ribosomal RNA", at positions 2743 to 3401 of the family's 3401-position model. The record is from Rfam by way of RNAcentral. Lineage: Eukaryota; Fungi; Mortierellomycota; Mortierellomycetes; Mortierellales; Mortierellaceae.
GAGGGAACUGGGGAACAAUUCAAGGGUUCUUACUGCUGUGCUUGCCAUAUUGCUGCGCCAACAAAUCUACUUCGCCAAAGGGACAAAUGGCUUGCGGCAGCCAAGCGUUCAUAGGGACGAUGCUUUUUGAUCCUUCGGUGUCGGCUCCUCCUAUCAUACUGAAGCAGAAUUCAAUAAGUGUCGGAUUGUUCACCCACUAAUAGGGAACAAGAUCUGGGAUUUAUACCGUCGUAAGGCAAGCUAGUUUUAUCCUACUGAUGAAAUGUUGCAAUAGUAAUUGAACUUAAUGCGAGAGGACCCGUUCACUCGGAUAAUUGGUAUCUGGGUCUGCCUGAGAGCAGGCAAUAGCCCGAAUCUACCAUCGUUAGGUUAUCACUGAACGCCUGUAAGUCAGAACCCGUGCUAGAACGCGACGAUUACCGCCUUUUCCGAUUUUUAGUUGAAUACAAAUAGAUCUUCAGAUCCUGAAUCAUAUAGUGAUAGGGUAUGCCAAGGACAGAUAGGCAAUUUGGUGAAGGGAACAAAGGGGCAAAGGAACAGGAUGUAAUGUUUUGCAGAGUAGGGCCCUACCCAUUGUGGCUAUGAAGUGGCAAGAGCUACCUAGCACGGAUUACGACCGCGGGAGCCAGAUGGGCUUUGUACUGAACGGUAAGCCCACUUGGAGAAUGGG